CUUUUUGGAGAGUUUGAUCCUGGCUCAGGAUGAACGCUGGCGGCGUGCCUAAUACAUGCAAGUCGAGCGAACUGAUGAAGAGCUUGCUUUUGAUCAGUUAGCGGCGGACGGGUGAGUAACACGUGGGUAACCUGCCUGUAAGACUAGGAUAACUCCGG
This 158-nucleotide ribosomal RNA is filed under the name Heyndrickxia ginsengihumi. Its description in RNAcentral is "Bacillus ginsengihumi partial 16S ribosomal RNA". It matches the Rfam family "Bacterial small subunit ribosomal RNA", at positions 1 to 152 of the family's 1533-position model. Lineage: Bacteria; Bacillati; Bacillota; Bacilli; Caryophanales; Bacillaceae. The record is from RNAcentral.